Herpailurus yagouaroundi (jaguarundi) is the source of this 660-nucleotide long non-coding RNA. RefSeq lists it as uncharacterized. The transcript is spliced from 4 exons. The record is from RefSeq and is a predicted model, not a curated record. Lineage: Eukaryota; Metazoa; Chordata; Mammalia; Carnivora; Felidae.
GAUGAGGACAAACCCGGAGAAGCUAUGCGAGCAGCUACAGGAAGGGACCAGGCUACAGAAGAACCUAGAACAAUGCUGCACACACCUCCUGUGUUUACUGUCCACAGACUCACUUUGGAGCCAUGGGAAAAGCUGUGAGAACCAACUGCCAUGUAGACCGUGCCCUAUGAACAACUCUCAACUGAAGAGCAAAGAGCUAGCUGCUUGGUCCGUGGAUGGCAGUUCCACAGGUGAGGGGACAGUCUAUCUGGAAGGCCAUCACUUGGACAGAAGAAGUUUUUACUGACUCAGGGCAGUGGCCAAUGGUCUGACCAUAUGGUCGGGCAGGAAGGCACACUGGAUAUGUUACCUAUUAAAAGGUUGCCCAUGUGGGGCACAGCCCUGUGGAAAUGAAUCUGAGGGGUGCAAUGAAGCAGGACAGGAUCCCAUCAGAACUUCUUCCAGGUUUGGAAGAUCACUUCAGCUUUCCAUUCCCCUGUUCGAUGUUGCAAACACAGACGUGGAAACAGGGAUGACUCCUAAGCAAGAAACUCUAGGUAUGGUUUCAAACCUGACCUUACAAAGUUCCUAAGGGCCUACGGGGCAGGAGGUGCCUGCACUCUCUGUGGCAAAACUGGGUGACAGGGAGUGUGGCUACACGUACCAGUGGUGGAGACAGCC